AGAGUUUGAUCCUGGCUCAGAGUGAACGCUGGCGGUAGGCCUAACACAUGCAAGUCGAACGGCAGCACAGUAAGAGCUUGCUCUUACGGGUGGCGAGUGGCGGACGGGUGAGGAGUACAUCGGAAUCUACUUUUUCGUGGGGGAUAACGUAGGGAAACUUACGCUAAUACCGCAUACGACCUACGGGUGAAAGCAGGGGAUCUUCGGACCUUGCGCGAUUGAAUGAGCCGAUGUCGGAUUAGCUAGUUGGCGGGGUAAAGGCCCACCAAGGCGACGAUCCGUAGCUGGUCUGAGAGGAUGAUCAGCCACACUGGAACUGAGACACGGUCCAGACUCCUACGGGAGGCAGCAGUGGGGAAUAUUGGACAAUGGGCGCAAGCCUGAUCCAGCCAUACCGCGUGGGUGAAGAAGGCCUUCGGGUUGUAAAGCCCUUUUGUUGGGAAAGAAAUCCAGCUGGUUAAUACCCGGUUGGGAUGACGGUACCCAAAGAAUAAGCACCGGCUAACUUCGUGCCAGCAGUCGCGGUAAUACGAAGGGUGCAAGCGUUACUCGGAAUUACUGGGCGUAAAGCGUGCGUAGGUGGUCGUUUAAGUCUGUUGUGAAAGCCCUGGGCUCAACCUGGGAACUGCAGUGGAAACUGGACGACUAGAGUGUGGUAGAGGGUAGCGGAAUUCCUGGUGUAGCAGUGAAAUGCGUAGAGAUCAGAGGAACAUCCAUGGCGAAAGCAGCUACCUGGACCAACACUGACACUGAGGCACGAAAGCGUGGGGAGCAA
This 775-nucleotide ribosomal RNA is filed under the name uncultured bacterium. RNAcentral's name for it is "bacterial SSU rRNA". It matches the Rfam family "Bacterial small subunit ribosomal RNA", at positions 8 to 771 of the family's 1533-position model. The record is from RNAcentral.